AUCUCUCCAGUUCCAGCUACACAAACAAGCAUAUUUUCCAGCUUGUGUACUAUGUCAUUUAUACAGAGGCACAUCAAGUUGUGAUUGGCUAAGCGCCAAAAUACACCACUCCUGGAACUAGCUAUUUUCCAGCUCUGGGGGGGGCUCUUUUAAACCACGACAGUCCCCCUCUGUCUGUAGUGUCCAUCUCUCCCUCACCCUUUGGCCUUUGGUCCUGCAGGCACUCAGCCUGAGCUGGGAAUGAGGGGUCUGUGGGGGUGAAUUUUGGCUUGGAGCUGGGAGGUGUCUCCGCUCAGUGUCCAGGGACAAGCUCUGCUGCACCUGUGGUGGUGGGACUGUGCGUGGAGCGGAGAGGGAGGUGACGAGAGAGGCGUGGGCAGGAUCCAGCCGUGAGCGCAGGGUCAGAUUUUCAUGGAGGGGCUGUGUCCUGCUGGGGCAGAGGCUUAAAAGGGAGUCAAGGUCCACGGCACAGCCCCAUCAUUGUGAGGACGUGGAGCUGGUGGGAUCACAUCAUGGCCUGGGUCCCUCUCCUCCUCGCGGUGCUCGCCCACGCCUCAGGUUCUCUGGUCCAGGCAGCGCUGACUCAGCCAUCCUCAUUGUCUCACAGGGUGGGAGACACCGUCAAUAUCCUGUGUUCUGGGAGCAGUGGCAGGUAUGACUGGUUCCAGCAGAAGGUCCCAGGAAGCGCCCUUGUCACUGUGAUCUAUGAAAAUGACAACAGACCCUUAGACAUCCCUUUGCGAUUCACCGGAUCCAAGUCCGGCUCCACGGGCACAUUAACCAUCACUGGGGUCCAACCCGAGGACGAGGCUGUCUAUUACUGUGGUGGCAGAGACAGCAGCAGUAAUGCUGCUAUAUUUGGGGCCGGGACCCAUUUGACCAUCACAGGCCUGCCCAAGCCCGCUCCCACCCUCCACCUCUUCCCACCAUCCCCCGAUGUGAAAAAAAAAGCCACCCUGGUGUGUCUGAUAGAACAAUCCCACCUCAGCCCUGUGGCAGUGGAAUGGUUGGCUGAUGGCACCCUCCUCAAAAAUAACGUGCAGACCAUUCCGCCCGUGCGGCUGAGCAAUGGGGAGUACCUAACCAGCAGCUACCUGUCACUGACUCCCAAACAGUGGCAAAGUUACGACUCAGUCUCCUGCAAGGCCAAGCACGAGGCUGGCAAUGUGGAGAAGACAGUGAACAGAUCCUAGUGCCCCUAAGCCCACUGGGACCUCCUCGCACCCACCGGCCCUUUGCUGGCUCCCUCCGUCCUCCCCACUUCUGGAGACAGCGGCUCCCCCCAGCCACACACCUCGCUCCCCAUGUACCCCUGUCCCUUGCUCCUGUCCCCCCACUAUAAGUGUCAGACAAAUAAAAACCAACACUGAACUAGUGCUG
Molecule: non-coding RNA, 1380 nt
Organism: Pseudopipra pipra
Lineage: Eukaryota; Metazoa; Chordata; Aves; Passeriformes; Pipridae
Source: the annotation of a RefSeq genome assembly